GGCUGCCGGAGUACCGGGUCGCCGCCUCGCCGGCCGGGGGUCGAGUCCAUCGAUCGGUCCGGGAGAUGAUGUCGUGCGUGCCUGCAACCGCAACAGGGGCGCCGCUGCCCCGGUGCCUGCCCAUGGCACGGGAGGCUGGCGGUUACUCUCACUGUUGCCGCCUUUUCGAUCGGAUUUGGUAUUUCUGUCUAUUCUUCGGUGACUAGCAUAUGCGUGUGGUAUUCGCAUCUGUUCAGAGAUGUGGGUAUGGGUUGCAGAUGGGCCUUGCACGCUAGGUGCUUGUUGUUUGCCUCGCUCUAUCCCGUAUGGUUUGUUGUAUUUGCGAGCCUAGGACUUUCCCUGAAUAGCAUGUAGCAUCAGCUUCGGGUAGAAUCUUCCUGCGAUUUCCUUUUUUCCCAUUGCAUUGGUGAUACUGGCAGCUCCUUUUGCUUCACGUUUGUCAUGUGCAGUUUAUUGUGAUGACAGUAAUUCCUGUCUUUGUGUUCAGUAUCUGUUAGUGUUUUCUUUCUGUUUUGAUUCAGUUAGCAGUCGGCAGUCAGUAUGCCAGUCGUCGGCUGAACAGGUCAAGGUUGUUAGCAGGUCCUAGUCUUUAGGGAGUAGAGUUAGGAGAGUCACUUGUUCUCCUCAGGACGUGUCCUGACUUUUAGGGGUCAUCAGGGCCAUUAGCAUCAGCCACUAAGGCUUUGUUUUACAGUUCUGUAAGAACAAGAUAAACCCAAAGCUGCUUUUGCAGCACAAAAUCCUACCGAGUUCAUUGUGAGCUUGAGUGAGUUGAGAGCAUACAUAUUGAAUCUGUAGUUUAGUAUGCUAUAGUUUGAGGGUUUUUUUUCGGUUCAGUUGCUGGACAGUGCUGAUCUUUAGGUGUAUAGUUUAUUGUUCAUAAAAUCUGUUGGCACGUAUUGUAGAAUUCAAGAGUUCUUUUGGUUUCUUGGUUCAUUCGGCUGGACUGUGCUGAUCUGUUAGCUACACCUCGUCUUAUAUCCUUCUGCUGUUGUUGUUCCUGCUGCUGCUGCUGCUGAAUAGGAGUACCAAACGGGUUGUCUUCCUUUCAUAUGGAUCCGGUUGCAAUAUAUAAGUGCCCUCGACUGCAAUAAUCACAGAAAAUGCACAAAUAUUUCAUUGAUGGAUCAAGUAAUUUGUUCUUUGUUUUAUGUAAUUGCUCACGGCUUGACAAUGAAGAUUGCUGAGUUUACCGGCAUUGCUCACUUCACACCUGGUAUUGAACAUACUUAAAAUUUAAUUCUAAUGAGAUCUUAACUAAAAUGAUCUGGGGUAUUCGUUGCAGGUCAAGCGCAUACCAAACACUUUCACGUCACUUGAAAGUUACUUGAAUUCAUUUGCUGGUCCACUGAUUGAAGAAGUGCAUGCUGAUAGUUUCUCAUCGCUGGAUGGUUAUGCUCAGGCGAGCUUUACACAAAUCUACAACAUUGAGUUUGGAGAGAAAGUAACUAUGCAGUAAGGACGGCCUUUACCAGACGACGGAGCACGUGAAGCAGCAGCCGAAGAAGCUGUCGAGGAAACAGAUGUCGUCGAAGGAGCUAGUGUAGAAGACCCCGUAGGUGAAGCCGCAAGCACUGUGGGCACUGGAGGAAGCGUCAGAAGACCAACAUCACGAAGACGAGUCUCCUCAUAGUGAACAGCAGUGAGCACCUCCACAAGUGAGACACGAGGGUGAUAUGCAAGUAGCUCAGCACGACACUGCUCGUACUCCGGUCGAAGCCGAGUGAGGAACUCGUAGAUGCGCCAGAAAUCGCGCUCAGCUCGGAGAGCGCGACAGCAGUCACAGGUACGAUAGCCAGCAGUGCAGAGAGUGUCCAACUGGCACCAUACAGUAGACAUCUGAGUAUAAAAGGCAUCGACAGUAAAAUCUCCCUGCUGAAGUGUCUGCUCCUGACGAACCACUGAAAGAGGCCUGGGCGGCGAUACCGUCCAUAAAAGAUUUAUGUGUUGCCAAACAUCAUCUCUUUCAUCUUGAUUCUGCUGAAGGAAGAAAUUGGCAGGAAACCUGUCCUAAACGCCGUUCGUGAGAGAUCAGGGGCUCCCAAGGUGAUUACUUCGAUUGAGUACUUGGCGUGGACAUUUUUACUUUCUGUUACCCUGAAAGGAUCGUUGAAUUUGUAUCUAUGAUGUUGCUGGAGAAAACUAUAGUACCUUGUUAAACUGCUACUUGAGCUCGAUGGACACUGAUUGCCCGACUCGCUUUUUAUGAUUU
Long non-coding RNA from Setaria italica (foxtail millet), 2212 nucleotides. RefSeq lists it as uncharacterized. Lineage: Eukaryota; Viridiplantae; Streptophyta; Magnoliopsida; Poales; Poaceae. The transcript has 4 exons. The record is from RefSeq and is a predicted model, not a curated record.